GACAAGAUGUAAAAAAAAAAAAAAAGGAGACUCAAAUCUGCAAUAUCUGUCCUGAGAUUGGGAUCCUGAGCCAUCAGGCUGAUAGAAGAGGAGAAUCUCACUUGGAAAGUCAAAAGAUAAAAUAAAAGACUUGAAUGUGGCCGAACUACAACUCCCAGUAGCUGAGGGCCAUCAUUCCCCAGCCCUUGAUUAAUUUAUAGUUCACAUUCUGAAAAUCUUCUUUAUAAGGAAGAUUCUGAAUAAGAAUGAAUUUGCAGUAACAGACCCUUUCAGCACCCUACCCCAGGCCACUCCGACCUGAAGCUAUGCAGGUGGACUGGAGUGCAAUUCCCACCUCCCUCUGCAAACCCAAUGUUAGGCUGCAUGGUAGAAAGAAUAUUCUUGCCAUUUGCUUUUUCUGAAGUUUUUCAUUUGAUAAAGGCUUCCCAUUUUCUUGAAAAAUAGAGGUCUAAAGAUAAUGCUGUAGGGUCACCUUUCUAUAGGAUGAAAGAGGAUUCCGUAGCCUUUCAUACCUUUGCGAUGGCAAGCAGAUUAUAAUGGAAACAAACUCUUGCAAGUAGCCAAAUCUUGAUUCCCCUACGACAACAAUACUCAAUAAUCUGCCAGUUGUCUCUAUUGCAGUCUGCAUUUGUUCAAAUUCAAAUUGGAACUAUCUAGAGAUGUUUUCCAUUCCUUUCCCCAAAUGGAUGGGGGGCACAUUCUCCAUGUUGGAGCCUGAUUCAGACAUUUAGGAGACAUUAAACUCCUUGGAGGCCCAUUGAUGCUAACGGAGGCAGCCAAACUCAUAAGAAUAUUGAAUGUUCCUGUCUUUCUUCUUUAUUUGUGUAUAUGCAUGUAGAUUUAUGUUUAUAUGAUUCUGCCUUUUGGUUAAAAAAAUCAGCCAGAGCAAGAGGUGUAGAAUAGAAGUGGUCCCAAUGGACCAGUACAGAGAUAAGAGUGGCUGUUUCUUCUCCCACUGACCACGGUUGGCUGGAUUUCCCUGGCUUUCUGUUCACAUUUAUCAUUCAAGAACUGGCUCUUCUUUACAGCAAUUAAUCAUCUAACAACAACAGGGCAACUGUUGCUUUAAAUUCAUGGCUGGACAUUAACCAGCUCCAUCAAAAAAAUGUGCACAAGGAAGUCAGAAGAUUUCACCCUCUUUUUCAGUAGAUGUGGGCUGCAGGUCAUUUGCAAUAUUGUCUUAGGAACAUCUUUCCGUGAUCCAAGACCAGGAACCAAAACAAAUGGGGUGCACAGAUUGUGGAGUAAAGGUGGGGUUUAAAAGAGUGGAAAUCCAUGGAUGCUAGCUUGAUGACUGUAGUGUAGACAACUCCUUGUAGCACCAAUCACAUACCUUAAAUACCACUGACUGGGGAACAGUAGAAGUAGAAGAAAGUUGAAUGUUCUCCUGUCCAUGUUUGUGAGUUUUGCAGAUUCACCGGAUUGUCCAUUGUGCGGCUUAGAAUGCUGGAUUGAGGGCCCCUUACCUGGGUCCAGCAAGGCUCUGAUGUUCUUACAAAACACAGCACUUUCAAAGUUGAUCAUGAGUCACAGGAUCCUCUGGAAUCUGCUGAGCGUCUGAUGAAGAAAGUGAAGGCAUUUGGUUCAUUGGCGGGUCUUAAAGCAGAUAAACAAAAAACAAAAAUGUUAAUCAAAAAUAUGACCUUGCCUAAUCAGGAUCUGUUGAUGAGUAAGACGGGCUUCAGGACUGAAAAAAAGACUAUACCGAUUAUGACUACAGAUUUACCGUUUCAACAGUGGCAGACAGAUAUUUCGAAGUUUAUUUGGCAAGGCAAAAAACCAAGAAUGAAAUAUAAAUUGUUACAAGAUGCCAAGGAACGAGGAGG
Python bivittatus (Burmese python) is the source of this 1826-nucleotide long non-coding RNA. RefSeq lists it as uncharacterized. Lineage: Eukaryota; Metazoa; Chordata; Lepidosauria; Squamata; Pythonidae. The record is from RefSeq and is a predicted model, not a curated record.